RNAcentral lists this ribosomal RNA (679 nucleotides) under uncultured bacterium. RNAcentral's name for it is "bacterial SSU rRNA". It matches the Rfam family "Bacterial small subunit ribosomal RNA", at positions 108 to 796 of the family's 1533-position model. The record is from RNAcentral.
GAUUAAUGCUUGACCGACCUGCCCCAUACGCCGGAAUAGGUCCUGGAACCGGGUGGUAAUGCCGGAUGCUCCAGUUGCACCGCGUGGUCCUUACGGGAAAGCUUUUGCGGUAUGGGAUGGGGUCGCGUCUUAUCAGCUUGAUGGCGUGGUAACGGCCCACCAUGGCUUCGACGGGUAGCCGGCCUGAGAGGGCGACCGGCCACAUUGGGACUGAGAUACGGCCCAGACUCCUACGGGAGGCAGCAUUGGGGAAUAUUGCACAAUGGGCGCAAGCCUGAUGCAGCGACGACGCGUGCGGGAUGACGGCCUUUGGGUUGUAAACCGCUUUUGACUGGGAGCAACCCCUUCGGGGUGAGUGUUCCUCUCGGAUAAGCACCGGCUAACUACGUGCCAGCAGCCGCGGUAAUACGUAGGGUGCAAGCGUUAUCCGGAAUUAUUGGGCGUAAAGGGCUUGUAGGCGGUUCGUCGCGUCCGCUGUGAAAGUCCAUCGCUUAACGGUGGAUCCGCGCCGGGUACGGGCGGUCUUGAGUGUGGUAGGGGAGACUGGAAUUCCCGGUGUAACGGUGGAAAGUGUAGAUAUCGGGAAGAACACCAAUGGCGAGGGCAGGUCUCUGGGCCGUCACUGAUGCUGAGGAGCGAAAGCGUGGGGAGCGAACAGGAUUAGAUACCCUGGUAGUCC